This is a non-coding RNA of Callorhinus ursinus (northern fur seal), 313 nucleotides long. The record is from RefSeq and is a predicted model, not a curated record. Lineage: Eukaryota; Metazoa; Chordata; Mammalia; Carnivora; Otariidae.
CAUGGCAUCUUGACUUUGACAUCUUUAUGCCUUUUGAUUCUUGUCUUUUGAUUUCUCUACUCACAAAGAAUCUUUGCUAAUGACUUUUAGGAGCUGUUCUUAGGUAUGUACAGUGCUGUACAGGAGUCUAUUUCAGUUUGGAAUGUGGCAAAUGAAGCCUUUCUGCUCUCCGGAUGGGGAUUAAUGCCUGGAGUAUACGUUAAACUCAGAAACACUUUAUGACAUAGGUACACAUGUUUGAGUGACUGAUUUUGAGAGAAAUUUAAUCCUUCAACUUGGAUUUUCCUUUGUUCUUACCACUGAUCUGUAUCUC